CAGUUAUCUAAGGUCGCCAUAUUUUGGAAGGAAGCGCUAUCUAAAAUUUGGGAUGAUCUUCGGCCAACGAUUACUGGACAACUGGAUCCAAAUUCCACAAAUAACAGUGUUCCUUUACCUGUGUGGGUGUUUCCCCUAAUAGAACGCAGGUGCCAUGCAUUUUCUCUUUCAGGCCUUCCUUUCCACUAUUCCUUCAACUCCAGCAGAUGCCCUGGCUGCUCUACAUGCCCCCUCGACGUGGGGCCACAGGCAGCACGCGGUCAGGCACAUAGGGACUCUUGGAAAGGGCUUGUGGAAGGGGUCCUCACUGCAGGGAGAGGCUCUGUUUUGCACCCCCACUACCCCUAGGACAUAUCCUGGGUAGAUGCUCACUGUCCCAGACUGCAAACCCCAUUUCUUUAUCUGUCGAAACCAUUCAACUGGGAGUGCUGUGAGAGCUGUAACAAGUCGCAUUAAGCACAGCAUCUUCAAGCCCUGCACCAACCAGGCCAGCAAAAGCAGGUCUCAGUGAGAGUCUUCGGAAUGGGAAUCCUUGUGCCACCUCUGGCAGAGCCCCAGCCCAAGGUGAGCCUGAAGGGGUUCUGGAUCUCAGCAGCAACACUCAGGGACCCUGGGCAGAAGGGUUUUCUGACUCUUUGUAGGAAUGCAAGAGCUAAGCAUGCACAACCUUCCAGGUACGGUGGCACCUUGCUCCCCUUUCCCACCCUGCACCCACCCUUCACCCUCUGUGUGAGGGUGGAGUCUGAAGCCUAUCCUUCCCGCCCUUUCUUUUGCCCACUUGUAGAUGACACCCCUGUUGCAAUUGUACUACGAGCUCCAGCUAUGUGGAGAACUAGUGUGGAUCAGAGUGUAAUCAGAGACAGCUAGCGCCCACCUCCUGGUUCUGAAGGCCCCCACCCUCCACCACAGUGCUCUGGGCCCCCUGCAUCACACGCUGGUUGGCUGUACCACCCAGGUCCAAGGUGCUGACUGUGGCUGGCUCUUGGCUCCAACCCUUACAGGAACAUAGGGGGCUGAGAAAAUCGAUGGUGCUAAUCGCGAGCUCUCCACUGGGGAUGCCAUCCUAAAGGAAAACCGUGUGUGAAAUACUCAGAGUGGUAUCCGUUUGGAUGUUUAAAGAAGGAAGCAAAUUAACAUCGUUCCCGGUGCUCACAAGAAAGCCGGCUGAUCGUAAAGGACAUCCAGGCAGGCCCGGGAAGAAGCCAGAGUAAAGUCGAGCACGCACUCCUGUGGUUUUCCACCUCUCUUGUAAAAAGUCAUUCAUGGGAAUCGGUGUCCCGAGACGAAAGGGAUACGAAUUAUUAAUUCGAAGAUGGGAAACCCCAAAGGAACCUCACCCGUCUAGUGCAAUGCUGUCCUCCUACAAGCAGAGCAGUCAGGUGGAUUGCACAGUGAGAGGCUGGCGGGACCACAGCCCAGAUCUCCUCACCCUGUGUUCCUUACACCCCAGGCUAUCCCCCCGCCCCCCUGAUGUGGAGCUAUCCUUGUGUGGCUUUAACGAAAGGAAGUGCAUGUAGGUGAGGAUGCAGGGGUAAUGGGACAAGAGAAUGAGGCAUAGGGAACUUUUGAGAAAAGGAUUUGUUUUUGAAAAUUAUCACCAAGAAGGAAAGAACUUAGCAACAAGUGCAGGGCGUGCAGAGUUUAGUUCUGCCCACCGGAGAGUCUGAGAUAUCCCAUUUUAGAGUCUUAGUCUUUGGCAGGGCCAGUCAGUGGGCAGGGGUGGUGGCCCUUCCCCUGCCUCCUUUGGUUCCCAGACCCCUAUUUGGCUCCUGACCCUGGAGCCCCUUGUGAAGGCAGCUGCAGUGUCCCUCAACCUCUUAGCAAGGGCGACUGAGUCCUGUCAGCACAGCCAGGCCCAAUC
Long non-coding RNA from Equus caballus (horse), 1861 nucleotides. Lineage: Eukaryota; Metazoa; Chordata; Mammalia; Perissodactyla; Equidae. The record is from Ensembl.